RNAcentral lists this unclassified non-coding RNA (171 nucleotides) under Limulus polyphemus (Atlantic horseshoe crab). Its description in RNAcentral is "battenin-like, transcript variant X1". The record is from RNAcentral. Lineage: Eukaryota; Metazoa; Arthropoda; Merostomata; Xiphosura; Limulidae.
UCAGUAUGAGUUGAUAUACUUUAAAGACAUCUGGCUUUCUCAGAAAGAACAGUAUAGGUGGUACCAAGUAGACUACCAAGUUGGAGUUCUUAUUUCAAGAUCGACUGUAAAUAUUAUACAAUUUCGAAAGUUAUGGGUUCUGCCAAUUCUUCAGGUUAUGAACUUAAUCAU